Molecule: ribosomal RNA, 982 nt
Filed under: human gut metagenome
Description: bacterial LSU rRNA
Rfam family: Bacterial large subunit ribosomal RNA
Source: RNAcentral
ACGGUCCUAAGGUAGCGAAAUUCCUUGUCGGGUAAGUUCCGACCCGCACGAAUGGCGUAACGACUUGUGAGCUGUCUCAACAGGAGGCCCGGUGAAAUUGAAGUAUGUGUGAAGAUGCACAUUACCCGCGACUGGACGGAAAGACCCCGUAGAGCUUUACUGUAACCUGACAUUGGAUCUUGAUAACGGAUGCACAGGAUAGGUGGGACGCUGGGAGACGAGGACUUUGGUUUUCGUGGAGCGGCCGUUGGGAUACCACUCUUCUGUUAUUGAGAUUCUAACCUCAAGCCGUGAGCCGGAUGAGAGACAGUGUCAGGCGGACAGUUUGACUGGGGCGGUCGCCUCCGAAAGAGUAACGGAGGCGCCCAAAGGUACCCUCAGAAUGGAUGGAAACCAUUCGAAGAGAGCAAAGUCAGAAGGGUGCUUGACUGCGAGACCAACAAGUCGAGCAGGUACGAAAGUAGGGCUUAGUGAUCCGGCGGUAAGAGAGUGGAAUUGCCGUCGCUCAACGGAUAAAAGCUACCUCGGGGAUAACAGGCUGAUCUCCCCCAAGAGUUCACAUCGACGGGGAGGUUUGGCACCUCGAUGUCGGCUCAUCGCAUCCUGGAGCUGAAGUCGGUUCCAAGGGUUGGGCUGUUCGCCCAUUAAAGCGGUACGCGAGCUGGGUUCAGAACGUCGUGAGACAGUUCGGUCCCUAUCUGUCGUGGGCGCAGGAAAUUUGAGAAGAGCUGUCCUCAGUACGAGAGGACCGGGAUGGACGCAUCAAUGGUGGACCAGUUGUCACGCCAGUGGCAUAGCUGGGUAGCUAAAUGCGGAAGGGAUAAACGCUGAAGGCAUCUAAGUGUGAAACCCACUUCAAGAUGAGAUUUCCCAUUGCGCAAGCAAGUAAGACCCCUUAAAGACGAUAAGGUAGAUAGGUCAGGAGUGUAAGCAUGGUGACAUGUUAAGCGGACUGAUACUAAUAGGUCGAGGGCUUGACCGA